GGUGUGACUGCGUACCUUUUGUAUAAUGGGUCAGCGACUUAUAUUCUGUAGCAAGGUUAACCGUAUAGGGGAGCCGCAGGGAAACCGAGUCUUAACUGGGCGUUAAGUUGCAGGGUAUAGACCCGAAACCCGGUGAUCUAGCCAUGGGCAGGUUGAAGGUUGGGUAACACUAACUGGAGGACCGAACCGACUAAUGUUGAAAAAUUAGCGGAUGACUUGUGGCUGGGGGUGAAAGGCCAAUCAAACCGGGAGAUAGCUGGUUCUCCCCGAAAGCUAUUUAGGUAGCGCCUCGUGAAUUCAUCUUCGGGGGUAGAGCACUGUUUCGGCUAGGGGGUCAUCCCGACUUACCAACCCGAUGCAAACUACGAAUACCGAAGAAUGUUAUCACGGGAGACACACGGCGGGUGCUAACGUCCGUCGUGAAGAGGGAAACAACCCAGACCGCCAGCUAAGGUCCCAAAGUCAUGGUUAAGUGGGAAACGAUGUGGGAAGGCACAGACAGCCAGGAUGUUGGCUUAGAAGCAGCCAUCAUUUAAAGAAAGCGUAAUAGCUCACUGGUCGAGUCGGCCUGCGCGGAAGAUGUAACGGGGCUAAACCAUGCACCGAAGCUGCGGCAGCGACACUAUGUGUUGUUGGGUAGGGGAGCGUUCUGUAAGCCUGCGAAGGUGACCUGUGAGGGUUGCUGGAGGUAUCAGAAGUGCGAAUGCUGACAUAAGUAACGAUAAAGCGGGUGAAAAGCCCGCUCGCCGGAAGACCAAGGGUUCCUGUCCAACGUUAAUCGGGGCAGGGUGAGUCGACCCCUAAGGCGAGGCCGAAAGGCGUAGUCGAUGGGAAACAGGUUAAUAUUCCUGUACUUGGUGUUACUGCGAAGGGGGGACGGAGAAGGCUAUGUUAGCCGGGCGACGGUUGUCCCGGUUUAAGCAUGUAGGCUGGUUGUCCAGGCAAAUCCGGAUAAUCAAGGCUGAGGUGUGAUGACGAGGCACUACGGUGCUGAAGUAACAAAUGCCCUGCUUCCAGGAAAAGCCUCUAAGCAUCAGGUAACAUCAAAUCGUACCCCAAACCGACACAGGUGGUCAGGUAGAGAAUACCAAGGCGCUUGAGAGAACUCGGGUGAAGGAACUAGGCAAAAUGGUGCCGUAACUUCGGGAGAAGGCACGCUGGUGUGUAGGUGAAGUCCCUGCGGAUGGAGCUGAGACCAGUCGAAGAUACCAGCUGGCUGCAACUGUUUAUUAAAAACACAGCACUGUGCAAACACGAAAGUGGACGUAUACGGUGUGACGCCUGCCCGGUGCCGGAAGGUUAAUUGAUGGGGUUAUCCGUAAGGAGAAGCUCUUGAUCGAAGCCCCGGUAAACGGCGGCCGUAACUAUAACGGUCCUAAGGUAGCGAAAUUCCUUGUCGGGU
This 1402-nucleotide ribosomal RNA is filed under the name metagenome. RNAcentral's name for it is "bacterial LSU rRNA". It matches the Rfam family "Bacterial large subunit ribosomal RNA", at positions 590 to 1977 of the family's 2925-position model. The record is from RNAcentral.